Non-coding RNA from Acanthosepion pharaonis, 110 nucleotides. NCBI's taxonomy places the organism in Eukaryota, Metazoa, Mollusca, Cephalopoda, Sepiida, Sepiidae. The record is from the annotation of a GenBank genome assembly.
CUAUCAUAUCAUAUUGAAACGCUGGUUCCCGUACGUUCACCGAAGUUGAGCAACAUCGAGCUUCGUCAGUACUUAGAUGGGUGACAGCUUGGGAAUACCAGGUGCUGUAA